Molecule: ribosomal RNA, 122 nt
Filed under: uncultured archaeon A07HR67
Lineage: Archaea
Source: RNAcentral
GAAGGCGGCCAGAGCGGUGGGGCGACACCCGUACCCAUUCCGAACACGGAAGUUAAGCCCACCAGCGUACCGGGAAGUACUGGAGUGAGCGAUCCUCUGGGAACCGCGGUUCGCCGCCUACC